AUUGAACGCUGGCGGCAUGCCUUACACAUGCAAGUCGAACGGCAGCAUGGAGAGCUUGCUCUCUGAUGGCGAGUGGCGAACGGGUGAGUAAAGCAUCGGAACGUACCGUGUAGUGGGGGAUAACGUAGCGAAAGUUACGCUAAUACCGCAUACGCACUGAGGUGGAAAGCAGGGGAUCGUAAGACCUUGCGCUAUACGAGCGGCCGAUGUCAGAUUAGCUAGUUGGUAGGGUAAAGGCCUACCAAGGCGACGAUCUGUAGCGGGUCUGAGAGGAUGAUCGGCCACAGUGGGACUGGGAACCGGCCCAGACGCCUACGGGAGGCAGCAGUGGGGAAUUUUGGACAAUGGGGGCAACCCUGAUCCAGCCAUGCCGCGUGAGUGAAGAAGGCCUUCGGGUUGUAAAGCUCUUUCGGCCGGGAAGAAAUCGCACAGGCUAAUACCCUGUGUGGAUGACGGUACCGGCAUAAGAAGCACCGGCUAACUACGUGCCAGCCGCCGCCGUAA
This 504-nucleotide ribosomal RNA is filed under the name uncultured bacterium. RNAcentral's name for it is "partial 16S ribosomal RNA". It matches the Rfam family "Bacterial small subunit ribosomal RNA", at positions 29 to 523 of the family's 1533-position model. The record is from RNAcentral.